UUAAGCGACUAAGCGUACACGGUGGAUGCCCUGGCAGUCAGAGGCGAUGAAGGACGUGCUAAUCUGCGAAAAGCGUCGGUAAGGUGAUAUGAACCGUUAUAACCGGCGAUGUCCGAAUGGGGAAACCCAGUGCAAUUCGUUGCACUAUCGUUAACUGAAUACAUAGGUUAACGAGGCGAACCGGGGGAACUGAAACAUCUAAGUACCCCGAGGAAAAGAAAUCAACCGAGAUUCCCCCAGUAGCGGCGAGCGAACGGGGAGCAGCCCAGAGUCUGAAUCAGCUUGUGUGUUAGUGGAACGGUCUGGAAAGUCCGACGGUACAGGGUGAUAGUCCCGUACACCAAAAUGCACAGGCUGUGAACUCGAAGAGUAGGGCGGGACACGUGGUAUCCUGUCUGAAUAUGGGGGGACCAUCCUCCAAGGCUAAAUACUCCUGACUGACCGAUAGUGAACCAGUACCGUGAGGGAAAGGCGAAAAGAACCCCGGCGAGGGGAGUGAAAAAGAACCUGAAACCGUGUACGUACAAGCAGUGGGAGCACCUUCGGGUGUGACUGCGUACCUUUUGUAUAAUGGGUCAGCGACUUAUAUUCUGUAGCAAGGUUAACCGUAUAGGGGAGCCGCAGGGAAACCGAGUCUUAACUGGGCGUUAAGUUGCAGGGUAUAGACCCGAAACCCGGUGAUCUAGCCAUGGGCAGGUUGAAGGUUGGGUAACACUAACUGGAGGACCGAACCGACUAAUGUUGAAAAAUUAGCGGAUGACUUGUGGCUGGGGGUGAAAGGCCAAUCAAACCGGGAGAUAGCUGGUUCUCCCCGAAAGCUAUUUAGGUAGCGCCUCGUGAACUCAUCUUCGGGGGUAGAGCACUGUUUCGGCUAGGGGGUCAUCCCGACUUACCAACCCGAUGCAAACUACGAAUACCGAAGAAUGUUAUCACGGGAGACACACGGCGGGUGCUAACGUCCGUCGUGAAGAGGGAAACAACCCAGACCGCCAGCUAAGGUCCCAAAGUCAUGGUUAAGUGGGAAACGAUGUGGGAAGGCACAGACAGCCAGGAUGUUGGCUUAGAAGCAGCCAUCAUUUAAAGAAAGCGUAAUAGCUCACUGGUCGAGUCGGCCUGCGCGGAAGAUGUAACGGGGCUAAACCAUGCACCGAAGCUGCGGCAGCGACACUAUGUGUUGUUGGGUAGGGGAGCGUUCUGUAAGCCUGCGAAGGUGUGCUGUGAGGCAUGCUGGAGGUAUCAGAAGUGCGAAUGCUGACAUAAGUAACGAUAAAGCGGGUGAAAAGCCCGCUCGCCGGAAGACCAAGGGUUCCUGUCCAACGUUAAUCGGGGCAGGGUGAGUCGACCCCUAAGGCGAGGCCGAAAGGCGUAGUCGAUGGGAAACAGGUUAAUAUUCCUGUACUUGGUGUUACUGCGAAGGGGGGACGGAGAAGGCUAUGUUAGCCGGGCGACGGUUGUCCCGGUUUAAGCAUGUAGGCUGAUUGUCCAGGCAAAUCCGGAUAAUCAAGGCUGAGGUGUGAUGACGAGGCACUACGGUGCUGAAGUAACAAAUGCCCUGCUUCCAGGAAAAGCCUCUAAGCAUCAGGUAACAUCAAAUCGUACCCCAAACCGACACAGGUGGUCAGGUAGAGAAUACCAAGGCGCUUGAGAGAACUCGGGUGAAGGAACUAGGCAAAAUGGUGCCGUAACUUCGGGAGAAGGCACGCUGGUGUGUAGGUGAAGUCCCUGCGGAUGGAGCUGAGACCAGUCGAAGAUACCAGCUGGCUGCAACUGUUUAUUAAAAACACAGCACUGUGCAAACACGAAAGUGGACGUAUACGGUGUGACGCCUGCCCGGUGCCGGAAGGUUAAUUGAUGGGGUUAUCCGUAAGGAGAAGCUCUUGAUCGAAGCCCCGGUAAACGGCGGCCGUAACUAUAACGGUCCUAAGGUAGCGAAAUUCCUUGUCGGGUAAGUUCCGACCUGCACGAAUGGCGUAAUGAUGGCCAGGCUGUCUCCACCCGAGACUCAGUGAAAUUGAACUCGCUGUGAAGAUGCAGUGUACCCGCGGCAAGACGGAAAGACCCCGUGAACCUUUACUAUAGCUUGACACUGAACAUUGAGCCUUGAUGUGUAGGAUAGGUGGGAGGCUUUGAAGCGUGGACGCCAGUCUGCGUGGAGCCAACCUUGAAAUACCACCCUUUAAUGUUUGAUGUUCUAACGUUGGCCCCUUACCGGGGUUGCGGACAGUGUCUGGUGGGUAGUUUGACUGGGGCGGUCUCCUCCCAAAGCGUAACGGAGGAGCACGAAGGUUAGCUAAUCCUGGUCGGACAUCAGGAGGUUAGUGCAAUGGCAUAAGCUAGCUUGACUGCGAGCGUGACGGCGCGAGCAGGUGCGAAAGCAGGUCAUAGUGAUCCGGUGGUUCUGAAUGGAAGGGCCAUCGCUCAACGGAUAAAAGGUACUCCGGGGAUAACAGGCUGAUACCGCCCAAGAGUUCAUAUCGACGGCGGUGUUUGGCACCUCGAUGUCGGCUCAUCACAUCCUGGGGCUGAAGUAGGUCCCAAGGGUAUGGCUGUUCGCCAUUUAAAGUGGUACGCGAGCUGGGUUUAGAACGUCGUGAGACAGUUCGGUCCCUAUCUGCCGUGGGCGCUGGAGAAUUGAGGGGGGCUGCUCCUAGUACGAGAGGACCGGAGUGGACGCAUCACUGGUGUUCGGGUUGUCAUGCCAAUGGCACUGCCCGGUAGCUAAAUGCGGAAGAGAUAAGUGCUGAAAGCAUCUAAGCACGAAACUUGCCCCGAGAUGAGUUCUCCCUGAGACUUUAAGUCUCCUGAAGGAACGUUGAAGACGACGACGUUGAUAGGCCGGGUGUGUAAGCGCAGCGAUGCGUUGAGCUAACCGGUACUAAUGAACCGUGAGGCUUAACCUU
Molecule: ribosomal RNA, 2900 nt
Filed under: Klebsiella pneumoniae
Lineage: Bacteria; Pseudomonadati; Pseudomonadota; Gammaproteobacteria; Enterobacterales; Enterobacteriaceae
Description: bacterial LSU rRNA
Rfam family: Bacterial large subunit ribosomal RNA
Source: RNAcentral